AACGAACGCUGGCGGCAUGCCUAACACAUGCAAGUCGAACGAGACCUUCGGGUUUAGUGGCGCACGGGUGCGUAACGCGUGGGAACCUGCCCUUAGGUUCGGAAUAACUCCCCGAAAGGGGUGCUAAUACCGGAUAAUGUCUUCGGACCAAAGAUUUAUCGCCUUUGGAUGGGCCCGCGUUGGAUUAGCUAGUUGGUAGGGUAAAAGCCUACCAAGGCGACGAUCCAUAGCUGGUCUGAGAGUAUGAUCAGCCACACUGGGACUGAGACACGGCCCAGACUCCUACGGGAGGCAGCAGUGGGGAAUAUUGGACAAUGGGCGAAAGCCUGAUCCAGCAAUGCCGCGUGAGUGAUGAAGGCCUUAGGGUUGUAAAGCUCUUUUACCCGGGAUGAUAAUGACAGUACCGGGAGAAUAAGCUCCGGCUAACUCCGUG
This 433-nucleotide ribosomal RNA is filed under the name uncultured bacterium. RNAcentral's name for it is "partial 16S ribosomal RNA". It matches the Rfam family "Bacterial small subunit ribosomal RNA", at positions 29 to 507 of the family's 1533-position model. The record is from RNAcentral.